UGAUUAAUUAAUAAAAAAGUGACAGACCUUAAUCUCUUUUAGAGUACAACGGUUGUUUCACAUGGUAUCAGAGAAAAAGGUUCUUAGUUCGAGUCACACCAGGCUCCUAGCAUAUUAAUUUCCUUCUAUUUAAUUCAAAUCCACGUCAUGGGCCGACUAAAAAAGUCUCGAGCCCAGACGUGAGGGGGAAUUUUAAAUAUAAAAAUGUUUAAACACGCAGACAUGAGGGGGAGUGUUAAAUAUAAAAAUAUUUAAACACCAUUCUCUAACAGACUAAGCUUUUAGAGUACAACAGUUGUUUCACACUCACAUCUCUUUGGGACUUCCCCACUACUAAACAAUAAAAGAAUUUUGAUGAUUAACAAACAACAAGCUAGAUA
This 380-nucleotide long non-coding RNA is filed under the name Ananas comosus (pineapple). Its description in RNAcentral is "long non-coding RNA (ACOM_LNC027008)". Lineage: Eukaryota; Viridiplantae; Streptophyta; Magnoliopsida; Poales; Bromeliaceae. The record is from RNAcentral.